Molecule: ribosomal RNA, 528 nt
Filed under: uncultured bacterium
Lineage: Bacteria
Description: bacterial SSU rRNA
Rfam family: Bacterial small subunit ribosomal RNA
Source: RNAcentral
UAGUCCACGCCCUAAACGAUGUGCGCUAGAUGUUGGGGGACUUGUCCUUCAGUGUCGUAGCUAACGUGUUAAGCGCACCGCCUGGGGAGUACGGCCGCAAGGCUAAAACUCAAAGGAAUUGACGGGGGCCCGCACAAGCGGUGGAGUAUGUGGUUUAAUUCGAAGCAACGCGCAGAACCUUACCUACCCUUAACAUUUCACGACGUAUACAGAGGUGUAUAUUUCUCUUCGGAGACGUGAGGAUAGGUGCUGCAUGGCUGUCGUCAGCUCGUGUCGUAAGAUGUCUGGUUAAGUCCAAUAACGAGCGCAACCCUUAUCCUUAGUUACCAGCAUUAAGUUGGGGACUCUAGGGAGACUGCCGGUGUUAAACCGGAGGAAGGCGGGGAUGACGUCAAGUCCUCAUGGCCCUUACGGGUAGGGCUACACACGUACUACAAUGGCAGAUACAAACCGUUUGCAAAGCCGCGAGGUUGAGCUAAUCGGUGAAACACUGUCCCAGUCCGGAUUGGAGUCUGCAACUCGACUCCA